UUUCCCUCCAGAGUGGAUCCUGAGUACGGCGGAACACGUGAAAUUCCGUCGGAAUCCGGGAGGACCAUCUCCCAAGGCUAAAUACUCCCUAGUGACCGAUAGUGAACCAGUACCGUGAGGGAAAGGUGAAAAGCACCCCGGAAGGGGAGUGAAACAGUUCCUGAAACCGUGUGCCUACAAGUAGUUAGAGCCCGUUAAUGGGUGAUAGCGUGCCUUUUGUAGAAUGAACCGGCGAGUUACGAUUUGUUGCAAGGUUAAGCGGAAAAAGCGGAGCCGUAGCGAAAGCGAGUCUGAAUAGGGCGCAUAAGUAACAGGUCGUAGACCCGAAACCAGGUGAUCUACCCAUGUCCAGGAUGAAGGUAAGGUAAUACUUACUGGAGGUCCGAACCCACGCACGUUGAAAAGUGCGGGGAUGAGGUGUGGGUAGCGGAGAAAUUCCAAUCGAACUUGGAGAUAGCUGGUUCUCUCCGAAAUAGCUUUAGGGCUAGCCUCGAGGUAAAGAGUCAUGGAGGUAGAGCACUGUUUGGACUAGGGGCCCUUCUCGGGUUACCGAAUUCAGAUAAACUCCGAAUGCCAUGUACUUAUACUCGGGAGUCAGACUGCGAGUGAUAAGAUCCGUAGUCGAAAGGGAAACAGCCCAGACCACCAGUUAAGGUCCCCAAAUAUAUGUUAAGUGGAAAAGGAUGUGGGGUUGCUUAGACAACCAGGAUGUUGGCUUAGAAGCAGCCACCAUUGAAAGAGUGCGUAAUAGCUCACUGGUCGAGUGACCCCGCGCCGAAAAUGUACCGGGGCUAAACAUAUUACCGAAACUGUGGAUGAACCUCUUUAGAGGUUCGUGGUAGGAGAGCGUUCUAAGGGCGGUGAAGUCAGACCGGAAGGACUGGUGGAGCGCUUAGAAGUGAGAAUGCCGGUAUGAGUAGCGAAAGAAGGGUGAGAAUCCCUUCCACCGAAUAUCUAAGGUUUCCUGAGGAAGGCUCGUCCGCUCAGGGUUAGUCGGGACCUAAGCCGAGGCCGAUAGGCGUAGGCGAUGGACAACAGGUAGAGAUUCCUGUACCAGUGCUAAUUGUUUAACCGAUGGGGUGACACAGAAGGAUAGGGAAUCGCACGAAUGGAAAUGUGCGUCCAAGCAGUGAGUGUGAGAAGUAGGCAAAUCCGCUUCUCGCGAAGCAUGAGCUGUGAUGGGGAAGGAAAUUAAGUACGGAAGUUCCUGAUUUCACGCUGUCAAGAAAAGCCUCUAGGAAGAGUAGUACUGCCCGUACCGCAAACCGACACAGGUAGAUGAGGAGAGAAUCCUAAGGUGAGCGAGAGAACUCUCGUUAAGGAACUCGGCAAAAUGACCCCGUAACUUCGGGAGAAGGGGUGCUCUAUUAGGGUGCAAGCCCGAGAGAGCCGCAGUGAAUAGGCCCAGGCGACUGUUUAGCAAAAACACAGGUCUCUGCAAAACCGUAAGGUGACGUAUAGGGGCUGACGCCUGCCCGGUGCUGGAAGGUUAAGAGGAGUGCUUAGCUUCGGCGAAGGUACGAAUUGAAGCCCCAGUAAACGGCGGCCGUAACUAUAACGGUCCUAAGGUAGCGAAAUUCCUUGUCGGGUAAGUUCCGACCCGCACGAAAGGCGCAACGAUCUGGGCACUGUCUCAACGAGAGACUCGGUGAAAUUAUAGUACCUGUGAAGAUGCAGGUUACCCGCGACAGGACGGAAAGACCCCGUGGAGCUUUACUGCAACCUGAUAUGGAAUGUUUGUACCGCUUGUACAGGAUAGGUAGGAGCCGAAGAGACGUGUGCGCUAGCAUACGAGGAGGCAAUGGUGGGAUACUACCCUGGCUGUAUGACCAUUCUAACCCGCCACGCUUAGCGCGUGGGGAGACAGUGUCAGGUGGGCAGUUUGACUGGGGCGGUCGCCUCCUAAAGAGUAACGGAGGCGCCCAAAGGUUCCCUCAGAAUGGAUGGAAAUCAUUCGCAGAGUGUAAAGGCACAAGGGAGCUUGACUGCGAGACUGACAAGUCGAGCAGGGACGAAAGUCGGGCUUAGUGAUCCGGUGGUUCCGCAUGGAAGGGCCAUCGCUCAACGGAUAAAAGCUACCCCGGGGAUAACAGGCUUAUCUCCCCCAAGAGUCCACAUCGACGGGGAGGUUUGGCACCUCGAUGUCGGCUCGUCGCAUCCUGGGGCUGUAGUCGGUCCCAAGGGUUGGGCUGUUCGCCCAUUAAAGCGGCACGCGAGCUGGGUUCAGAACGUCGUGAGACAGUUCGGUCCCUAUCCGUCGCGGGCGCAGGAAAUUUGAGAGGAGCUGUCCUUAGUACGAGAGGACCGGGAUGGACACACCGCUGGUGUACCAGUUGUUCCGCCAGGAGCAUCGCUGGGUAGCUAUGUGUGGCAGGGAUAAACGCUGAAAGCAUCUAAGCGUGAAGCCCCCCUCAAGAUGAGAUUUCCCAUUUCUUCGGAAAGUAAGAUCCCUGAAAGAUGAUCAGGUAGAUAGGUUUGGAGUGGAAGUGUAGCGAUACAUGGAGCGGACAAAUACUAAUCGAUCGAGGACUUAACCAAAA
Molecule: ribosomal RNA, 2540 nt
Filed under: Listeria monocytogenes
Lineage: Bacteria; Bacillati; Bacillota; Bacilli; Caryophanales; Listeriaceae
Description: partial 23S ribosomal RNA
Rfam family: Bacterial large subunit ribosomal RNA
Source: RNAcentral